UACGGAGGGUGCGAGCGUUGUCCGGAAUCAUUGGGCGUAAAGGGCGCGUAGGCGGCGGGGUAAGUCGGGUGUGAAAUCUCAGGGCUCAACCCUGAAACUGCACUCGAUACUGCUCUGCUUGAGGACUGGAGAGGAGACUGGAAUUCACGGUGUAGCAGUGAAAUGCGUAGAUAUCGUAAGGAAGACCAGUGGCGAAGGCGGGUCUCUGGACAGUUCCUGACGCUGAGGCACGAAGGCCAGGGGAGCAAACGGG
This 253-nucleotide ribosomal RNA is filed under the name uncultured bacterium. Its description in RNAcentral is "partial 16S ribosomal RNA". It matches the Rfam family "Bacterial small subunit ribosomal RNA", at positions 524 to 776 of the family's 1533-position model. The record is from RNAcentral.